UUGAGAAACAUCUUCCUCCACUGCUUCUAAAAGGGCUGUGGUAGAGAACAUGAAUUAUGGUGUAUCCGGUGGCUGGCAACAACACGUCAGAAGUGGGCACCUCUCUGGGGACAGAAGAGAAAUCAGAGUCUUCCUUCUUCCUGCCUGCUGAAGCCAGAGGAAAAAAGACACCUUCCCAGCAUCAAACAAAAUUAACAUGGCAGAAAUACCUUUAUUUGGGAACAUGGAACGGCACCCUUUGAUGGACUUGAUCUAAAAAAUGGUUCCAAAUCACUAUGCUCCUUCAUUGUCCUGGUGCACCAAUACCUGUGAAAGUCUGUGUAACAUUGAUGGGGCCAUACCUUGUAAGUCCUUCCCAUCGCUGAUGUUCUUCUGUACCAAGUUAUCCUGCAAACAAGGAACAGCAGAUAAUGCAAAGCUAACAGUAUCCCUGGACAGAGCAGGAUACUCCUCCACUUUGUCUCUCUGAUACUGCAACCUGGAGACAAGUCACUUCUCUAAUGAGGCUGUGCAAACAUCAUGUGUUCCUACGUGGAAAGAAGCAGAGAAGGCCAGGAGCAACAGGACACACAGGUAAUCCAGUGACACUGAGCCUGAGAGUGUGAUGGGACUUUUACCCCUGUUUCACUGUUGCAUAAACACAACUGCCAACAUCUAAGGGAUAACUGCCCUGACUGUCAAGCAUUCACAGAGAUUGGAACACUGUUACUCAGAGCUUUGGAUCGUGAAGGAACCACAGGAUAAGCUACUGACUGACACUGCUGGAUUAAAUAUUUGCUGAUGAUACUUUUCCUAUCUUUCAAUGUCUAGCUGAGACGAAUGGUUUAUAACGACUACUUUUGGACGUACUUCUGUAGAGGGAGAGAGGUACUGAUUCCUAAGGACUGUGUUUCCUCGUUUCCUGUUUUAAAAGCAGAUAAAACAGGGGAUGCUCCCAUUGUCCAGUUCCUUAGGUUAAGCUUUUUUUUUUCUUUCCAUUUUUCUUAUUGGCUUCUCUUUAAUGUUAUCUAUUAAGACUCUCAGAUAUUGACCCCCAAGCUGCAUUAAUUUUGGUACAACAACCAGUUAAGAUAAUCCAUCAUUACUGGCAGAGCCCAAUCAAAUUAGGUCUUGUAAUGUCCCAGAGAAAGGGACAAUCCCAGUGGGAAAGGCUCACCAUUAGAAGGAUGAGAGAAAAAAAUAUAGAGGGAAGGGAAACUAGAGAAACAAUCACGAAAAAUGAUAUUGCUAAGUGUUUUCUUAGGAAACAACACUGAAACAAGUGAUUUGGAGGAAUUCCAUAUUUGUUCUGAGCUAUUAAUUUGUCUGCACAAUGGCAAGGCUAGGAAGUCUAGGGGUCAAGAAGAGAAACCAAAACCACUUUCCAAAAAUGCUGCAUGAUUUUCCAGGUAAGAAACUUGCUUUCAACUCCCCUAUUUACUGGAACACAGACAAUGAUUCACUUGAUCUCAGUCACAGGUCAGUUUAUAUUCUUAACAAUCCUCUGGAACCAAGCCAAAAAUCUUUUGAUCUUUAUCACAUGUAAUGAAAAUACAAUGUGAAGAUGCAGAGUGAGGGUGGAAUCAACAGCUUACAACCAGAAAACGUGGAUUUGAGAGAAAUUGGAGUACUCAUGGUGUAAAGCUGAAUCAGAUUUCACCACAGAAGUCUUAAAAUACAUUAAAAAAAAAA
Molecule: long non-coding RNA, 1671 nt
Organism: Anas platyrhynchos (mallard)
Lineage: Eukaryota; Metazoa; Chordata; Aves; Anseriformes; Anatidae
Source: RefSeq, a predicted model, not a curated record